GCAAAUCGGCGAUUCGGUCUUACAAAUCCAAGAACGAGAUAUGUUUCUCAUGUCCACCAGUGAUAUUCUGAGAUAACCAUUACAAGCCAGAUUUGAAAAAGGCUGCCCGUGCAAGGUUGAGUGCUGUGAAUAGGAGCCUUAAGGUUUUAAAGUCAUGUGUGAAGAAGAAUAAGAAUAGACAGGCUUUGAAGAUCUGAGGUUGUGGCUGCUCUUGGAACAGAGUAUUUUGAGAACCUUCUUCCUGACAUUAUACAUAAUUGCUCUCAUCCAAAGGCACCUGUACGUGAUGGUUAUUUGACACUUUUCAAGCGGCGUAACAGCAGUCAAGGACGUUUUAUCGUGGAUUUACAACAUAACAUAGGCCUUCUUUCUUCUCUUUAUGAAUUCCUUUGAUUUUCCCAUUUUCUCGAUACAAGGGUUGAGGUCGGUAGUCAGUUUGGUGUGGAUGUUGGUGCUGCAAAACCAAAUUGGGAUCUUAUUAUGAGCUUUUCUAACAUCUUUGUAAUGCAUAACAUCAUUAUUGUUUGGUUACAUUUUUAUUAAAAGCUUUGGUUUGUCUUAUACAGGAAAACAUCUUCAAAGAAGAAGAGUCCUUCCACUUCUAAGACCGGUGAUAUGCAUUUGCAGCGACCUAUAUGCUUAUGCCUUGAGACCAUUGUAUAAUGUGGCAAAAUAUCAUGUUGAGGACCGAACGGGUAAAUAAGGAAAACUAAAUUUAAAAGGAAACGGGUCAAACCUUGCCAAAAUCGUUUCAGGCGUGCCACUGGAGAUAUGAUGAUGAGCAUCCAAUUAGCUUUUGGUAGAAGAUAUUCCGAUUUCCGGCUAGAAUCCAAACUAAAGUGGCACCGGAGUGUAGAGUCGGAUCUACCUUUGGAUUAAAAUUCCUCCCUUCGGGCAGAACAUGGAGGUGAGGUAUGUGCUUAAUACCUUAAUGAAUGGGGUUGCUCUACGAAUAGAAAAAAAGAUCAUCAUGGUCAUAGUUUAUACGUUCUUUUGAAUGUUGUGGUUUCUGAAAAUGAGAGUCCUUAAUGGGAAGCUGGUGACAACUUGAAAAGUGUUGGACGAUAUUAAGGACUCAACAUUGAUGUGGCAGGCGAACCGUACAAAGUUCUCGAUUCAAGAAUGGAGAGUUUAGCUUAGAAGUUUGACUUUUGUUAUACAAAGAGAGAUAGAGUGAAAGGGUGUGUCAAUAUUAACACCCAUAAUAAAUUAAUAUAAGAAGUAUGUGAAAAUAGUUUAUUGCAUUUUUAGUAUCCAAAACUUUGUAAUAGACGGGUGAAUGGAUUAUGUUCCAUUUAUUGUAUUUUUUUUUAUUUUAACAGCUAAGAUAUUUUUCUUCUAUAAUAUACUUACU
This 1354-nucleotide long non-coding RNA is filed under the name Helianthus annuus (common sunflower). RNAcentral describes it as "hypothetical non coding rna". Lineage: Eukaryota; Viridiplantae; Streptophyta; Magnoliopsida; Asterales; Asteraceae. The record is from RNAcentral.